GUAUAGUACCGUGAGGGAAAGGUGAAAAGAACCCCGGGAGGGGAGUGAAAUAGAACCUGAAACUAUGUGCUUACAAGCGGUCAGAGCCCGCAAGGGUGAUGGCGUGCCUUUUGGAGAAUGAUCCUGCGAGUUACGUUCAGUGGCAAGGUUAAGUUUAACGGAGCCGAAGGGAAACCGAGUCUGAACAGGGCGAUUUUAGUCGCUGGGCGUAGACGCGAAACCUGGUGAUCUAAGCCUGUCCAGGGUGAAGCUGUGGUAAGACACAGUGGAGGCCCGAACUCACCGCCGUUGAAAAGUUGGGAGAUGAGGUAGGUUUAGGGGUGAAAAGCCAAUCGAACUAGGAGAUAGCUCGUUCUCUCCGAAAUGCAUUUAGGUGCAGCCUUGAGUGUUUAAUUAUGGGGGUAGAGCACUGAAUGGACUAGGGGGCGCAUUGCUUACUGAAUCCAAUCAAACUCCGAAUACCAUAAUUCAAGAGCUCAGGAGUGAGACUAUGGGAAUUAACUUCCAUUGUCAAAAGGGAAACAACCCAGACCACCAGCUAAGGUCCCUAAUCAUAACUAAGUGGGAAAGGAGGUGGAGAUUCAUAAACAACCAGGAGGUUGGCUUAGAAGCAGCCAUACCUUUAAAGAGUGCGUAAUAGCUCACUGGUCGAGAGUCUCUGCGCCGACAAUGUAACGGGGCUAAGUUAUGAACCGAAGCUGUGGAAUUGCGCAAGCAAUUGGUAGGAGAGCGUUCUGUAGGCCGUUGAAGGAGAAGCGUAAGCAACUCUGGAGGUAUCAGAAGUGAGAAUGCAGGAAUAAGUAGCGAGAAGGGAGGCGAGAAUCCUCCCCGCCGGAAGACCAAGGUUUUCAGGGUAAAGCUUGUCUUCCCUGAGUAAGCCGGGACCUAAGCCGAGGCUAUAGUGCGUAGGCGAAUGGAAAACAGAUUAAUAUUUCUGUGCCAGUCAUAUUUUGUGAUGGAGGGACGCAGAAGGGUAUGUACGCGGAAGAACGGUAGUUUCCGUAAAAGCAUGUAGAAUGACUUGAUAGGUAAAUCCGUCAAGUUAGAUUUGAGGUGUGAUAUAUAGUCGUAAGAUGAAUGUACAAAUCCCACGCUGCCGAGAAAAGCUUCUAACGUUAAGGUAUGACUGCCCGUACCCGAAACCGACACAGGUGGUCAGGAUGAGAAAUCUAAGGCGGACAGGCUAACUCUCGUUAAGGAACUCUGCAAAAUUGCCCCGUAACUUCGGGAGAAGGGGUGCCCCUGAGUGUGAGCAUACACGCGAUGUUAAGCGCUUGGGGGUCGCAGUGAAGAGGCUCAAGCAACUGUUUAACAAAAACACAGGUCUAUGCUAAGCUGUAAGGCGAUGUAUAUGGGCUGACACCUGCCCAGUGCCGGAAGGUUAAGAGGAGGAGUGAGAGCUCCGAAUUGAAGCCCCGGUGAACGGCGGCCGUAACUAUAACGGUCCUAAGGUAGCGAAAUUCCUUGUCGGGUAAGUUCCGACCUGCACGAAUGGUGUAAUGAUUUGAGCGCUGUCUUGACGGGAGGCCUGGUGAAAUUGUAUUACCGGUGAAGAUACCGGUUACCUACAGUAGGACGGAAAGACCCCAUGGAGCUUUACUGUAGCUUGGUAUUGGGUUUUGGCAUUGCAUGUAUAGGAUAGUUGGGAAACUAUGAUGGUAUGGCGCUAGCUAUAUCGGAGUUGUCGGUGGAAUACCAACCAUUCAAUGUUGAAAUUCUAAUCUGUGGUUUGGAGCCACGGAGACAGUGCUAGGUGGGCAGUUUGACUGGGGCGGUCGCCUCCGAAAGAGUAACGGAGGCGUUCAAAGGUUCUCUCAGGUUGGAUGGAAAUCAACCGCAGAGUGCAAUGGCAUAAGAGAGCUUGACUGCGAGACUGACGGGUCGAGCAGGUGCGAAAGCAGGACAUAGUGAUCCGGCGAUUCCGAAUGGAAGGAUCGUCGCUCAACGGAUAAAAGCUACCCUGGGGAUAACAGGCUGAUCCUACCCGAGAGUCCAUAUCGACGGUAGGGUUUGGCACCUCGAUGUCGGCUCAUCGCAUCCUGGGGCUGGAGAAGGUCCCAAGGGUUGGGCUGUUCGCCCAUUAAAGCGGUACGUGAGCUGGGUUCAGAACGUCGUGAGACAGUUCGGUCCCUAUCCACUGUAGGCGUUAGAAUAUUGAGAAGAUCUGUCCUUAGUACGAGAGGACCGGGAUGGACAAACCUCUGAUGUACCAGUUGU
RNAcentral lists this ribosomal RNA (2217 nucleotides) under human gut metagenome. RNAcentral's name for it is "bacterial LSU rRNA". It matches the Rfam family "Bacterial large subunit ribosomal RNA", at positions 492 to 2724 of the family's 2925-position model. The record is from RNAcentral.